GGCCUUGACAUACUAAGAACUUUCCAGAGAUGGGAUUGGGUGCCUUCGGGAACUUAGAUACAGGUGCUGCAUGGCUGUCGUCAGCUCGUGUCGUGAGAUGUUGGGUUAAGUCCCGNAACGAGCGCAACCCUUUUCCUAUUUGCCAGCGGGUCAUGCCGGGAACUUUAAGGAUACUGCCAGUGACAAACUGGAGGAAGGCGGGGACGACGUCAAGUCAUCAUGGCCCUUACGGCCAGGGCUACACACGUGCUACAAUGGUCGGUACAAAGGGUUGCUACCUCGCGAGAGGAUGCUAAUCUCAAAAAGCCGAUCGUAGUCCGGAUCGCAGUCUGCAACUCGACUGCGUGAAGUCGGAAUCGCUAGUAAUCGCGGAUCAGAAUGCCGCGGUGAAUACGUUCCCGGGCCUUGUACACACCGCCCGUCACACCAUGGGAGUUUGUUGCACCAGAAGUAGGUAGUCUAACCGCAAGGAGGACGCUUACCACGGUGUGGCCGAUGACUGGGGUGAAGUCGUAACAAGGUAGGCGUAGAUGA
RNAcentral lists this ribosomal RNA (534 nucleotides) under uncultured bacterium. Its description in RNAcentral is "bacterial SSU rRNA". It matches the Rfam family "Bacterial small subunit ribosomal RNA", at positions 977 to 1509 of the family's 1533-position model. The record is from RNAcentral.